Molecule: ribosomal RNA, 704 nt
Filed under: Parcubacteria group bacterium
Lineage: Bacteria
Description: bacterial SSU rRNA
Rfam family: Bacterial small subunit ribosomal RNA
Source: RNAcentral
AGCGUGGGUAGCGAAUGGGAUUAGAUACCCCAGUAGUCCACGCCCUAAACGAUGAUGACUGGCUUUUCGGAGUAUCGACCCUCUGAGAGGCGAAGCUAACGCGUUAAGUCAUCCGCCUGGGAAGUACGACCGCAAGGUUAAAACUCAAAGGAAUAGACGGGGGCUCGCACAAGCGGUGGAUUAUGUGGUUUAAUUCGAUGAUAAACGAAGAACCUCACCAAGACUAGAAACCAAGCUGCACGCUCUGUGAAAGCAGAGUUCCUUCGAGGGUGCUUGGCAGGUGAUGCAUGGCCGUCGUCAGUUCGUGGUUUGAACUGUUCCCUUCAGUGGGGUAACGAACGCAACCCUCAUCGUCUGUUAUAAGUGUCAGACGAGACCGCCCAGCCCUAAGCCGGUGAUUGGAGUGAUGUAUAUACGCGCUCAGUAGUAAUACUGCUGAGCAGGAUAUGCACAUUCCGAGAAUCAUAAGCUUAGGGCUGGGAGGAAGGCGGGGAUGACGCCAGGUCAGCAUGUCCCUUGAUGUCUUGGGCUACACACGUAAUACAAUGGCCGGUACAACGGGUCGCGACGGGGUAACCCUGAGCCAAUCCUAAGAAAGCCGGCCCCAGUUCGGAUUGAGGUCUGCAACUCGACCUCAUGAAGUUGGAAUCGCUAGUAAUCGCAGGUCAGCUAAACUGCGGUGAAUAUGUUCCCGAGCCUUGUAC